Molecule: ribosomal RNA, 536 nt
Filed under: Nosema sp. C PSH-2011
Lineage: Eukaryota; Fungi; Microsporidia; Nosematidae
Description: SSU rRNA
Rfam family: Microsporidia small subunit ribosomal RNA
Source: RNAcentral
CCAGGUUGAUUCUGCCUGACGUAGACGCUAUUCCCUAAGAUUAACCCAUGCAUGUUAUUGAUUUUUGAAAAAUGGACUGCUCAGUAAUACUCACCUUAUUUUAUGUAUACUUAUUAUAACUACGUUAAAGUGUAGAUAAAAUGUAUACAGUAAGAGUGAGACCUAUCAGCUAGUUGUUAAGGUAAUGGCUUAACAAGGCAGUGACGGGUAACGGUAUUACUUUGUAAUAUUCCGGAGAAGGAGCCUGAGAGACGGCUACUAAGUCUAAGGAUUGCAGCAGGGGCGAAACUUGACCUAUGGAUUUUAUCUGAGGCAGUUAUGGGAAGUAAUAUUAUAUUGUUUCAUAUUUUAAAAGUAUAUGAGGUGAUUAAUUGGAGGGCAAAUCAAGUGCCAGCAGCCGCGGUAAUACUUGUUCCAAGAGUGUGUAUGAUGAUUGAUGCAGUUAAAAAGUCCGUAGUUUAUUUUUAAGAAGCAAUAUGAGGUGUACUGUAUAGUUGGGAGAGAGAUGAAAUGUGACGACCCUGACUGGACGAACA